This 456-nucleotide long non-coding RNA is filed under the name Phoenix dactylifera (date palm). RNAcentral's name for it is "long non-coding RNA (PDAC_LNC006238)". The record is from RNAcentral. Lineage: Eukaryota; Viridiplantae; Streptophyta; Magnoliopsida; Arecales; Arecaceae.
CACAGUCUGCACUACUCUCUUGCGAUAAUAGGCAUAAUAAUGGGCUUACUUCUUGGUGUGGGAUGAUUUCCACAUAAUUAAGUUGGUAUAUAUUCCUCAGGUAUUUAGAUGGUGAAGACAUAUAUGCAAAUGGGGCUUAUGUGGGUUUGGCUUAACUAGGAGAAGCAGGAUCAAGGGCAAAGAGAAUGCAAGGUUGACCAUUUAAGUUUUGCUUUGCUUUUAAAAAAAAUGCGUUUACUUUCUGGUUGUGUUUUAGCAGAACCUGUGCCGUAAAUGAAGCUUAUGUAUUAUGGUUAUAUCAGGUAUAUUGGACCAAAGCAGAUGCGAAUGGGAGUUUCAAAAUUAAAAAUAUUCGAACUGGAGAAGUUCUUAAUCCAUAGCUCUCUUCUUUAGCUAAUCCACGGAUGCCAAUCGGUCUCAUCUUAACUCUUUUCUAAUUUAAAUUCUAAAACACCA